Molecule: microRNA precursor, 97 nt
Filed under: Loxodonta africana (African savanna elephant)
Lineage: Eukaryota; Metazoa; Chordata; Mammalia; Proboscidea; Elephantidae
Description: mir-544 microRNA precursor family
Rfam family: mir-544 microRNA precursor family
Source: Rfam by way of RNAcentral
UUUACCUGGGCAUCUUGUUAAAAUGCAGAUUCUGAUUUUGUUGGUGUAGAAUGAGGCCUGAGAUUCUGCCUUUCUAACGAGCUCCAAGUAAUACUGA